Acinonyx jubatus (cheetah) is the source of this 2976-nucleotide long non-coding RNA. RefSeq lists it as uncharacterized. The record is from RefSeq and is a predicted model, not a curated record. NCBI's taxonomy places the organism in Eukaryota, Metazoa, Chordata, Mammalia, Carnivora, Felidae. The transcript has 2 exons.
UCCUUUCUUUUUCUUUUUUUUUCAAUGUUUAUUUGUUUUUGAGAGAGAGAGUCAGAGACAGAGAGAGAGAGAGCAGGGGAGGGGCAGAGAGAGAGGGAGACACAGAAUCCAAAGCAAGCCCCAGGAUCUGAGCUGUCAACACAGAGCCUGUCAUGGGGCUCAAACUCAUGAACUAUGAAAUCAUGACCUGAUUGACCUGAGUGGAAGUCGGAUGCUUAACUGACUGAACCACCCAUGUGCCCUGUUGUUUGUAUGUUUUCUUACAUGAGCAUUGGUGACACGAUAUGUCAGGAACCAGUGUUUGGGAGGGAUAAGGAAGACAGGCUGGAGGCCAGAAAGCAUGAGACACCAUGACCGUUAAUGUACAAUUGUUGAGGAGUCUCUAAGAUAGACACACUGAUUUCACACUACCUAUUCCAGAGUAGUGUGGCCUAAAAACAACUUGAAUUGUAAUUUUUCUACUCCUGAAUAUUCCCUGGUGGAUCUUGCCCCUGCUAGUUAGAGCAAAAACAAUGACAAAAGUUCUGCAGUGGUGGGUCCAGAGCAAGGGGAGAGAGUGGGGUCAGCAAGUAGCCAAAGGAAUAGUCAGAACACUUAGAAAUGGUACAUUAGGCAGGGUUGGGAUAUGGGAGGUAUUGAUGGGGACUGAGUUACUCUGAAAUAGAAGAGCCGUGGUCUGGAAGUCUUUGCACCAGAAACCAUGUGCCAUCAGCUCUUCUCUCCAUCAUCAGAGCUUCAUCCCUGUUGCUCAACCUGAGACAGAAAGUGGGAGGAGUUGAUAAGCAAGCCAUUCUUGCACCAGGGCGACCAGUGACAGCUGAGCCUGCUCACCAAUGUGUGCACCACAGACCAGAGAACAUAACGCACUUAUUCAAGAGUGUACAUCAUUUCUACUGUUUGCUUUAUAAGCUUCUUGUUAGAUACAUAGUUUUUGAGGUAGGCAGGAUACAAGUCAAGGAAAUAAGAAGGUACCUUCAGGUAUAUUGUUUGUUCUCCUAUAUCCCUAUUUUGAUAUUUUGUUUUUAGAAUAGAGAUUGGCCAACUGCAACAUGCAAGCCAGGUCUGGGCAUGUCCAUUUGUUUACAUAUCCUCUGUGGUUUCUUUCUCUCUACAACAGCAGAGUUUCAUAGUCAAAGUUACUGUAUGACCUGAAAAGCCAAAAUAAUUUACUAUGAUUUUUUUUUUUUACAAAUUUUGCUAACGUCUAUUUCAGAAGAAUCCUUGGGGCACUUGGGUGGCUCAGUUAGUUAAGGUUCUGACUCUUGGUUCUGGCUCAGGUCAUGAUCGCACGGUUUUGUGGGUUUGAGUUCCACGUCAGGCUCUGCACUGGCAGCAUGAAGCCUGCUUGGAAUUCUCUCUCUCCCUCUCUUUCUGACCCUCCCCAGCUUGCACUAUCUCUGUCUCUCUCAAAAUGAAUAAAUAAAAUUAAAAAGAGGAAGAAUCUUUUAAAAGGCUAGAAUCACCAGAAUGUAUUGUCCUAAUUGACAUCAAUGAGGAAAAUGAUAAAUUUCCAUAAUUAAGGUGACUAGUGUUUGUAAAUUGCUUUCACAUACCUGCUAGCCACAUGACCACCACAAAAGGGUUUUGAGUCAUGUAUUCUGAAAUCUAUUUCAUGGAGCAAGAAAUGGAGGAAGAGAUGAAGUGAUUUGCUUAACUCUUGCUUUGGGGAGCCCGAACCAGGAGCCCAAUGUCCUGAGUCUAAAUUCAUGCAAUUUCCAUCAUUUUAGUCCCAUCCUAGAGCUGAGUGUUUCCACUUAUGGAGAAAAUCUACCCGGUGUAAUUUCUAAAGUGCUGAGUAGGCUUUGAGCCCUCGGAUAUCUCAGCCCAAAUCCCAGCAUUAGAAAUCCAUUCCUCUGGAUCCACAAGUUCCUUUUUGGAGAUGUAAAAUGCCCCCAGGAAGGUGAGCAUGUUAAGUCUGGUUACAAGUCACUUGCAUUUUCAGGCAAAGUCUUAAGUGAAUGGUCUUCUCCUAACAAGGAGAUAUGAUGCCCAGUGGAGAAGGGAACUGCAGGUGUGGAAAGAAAUAUUUCUGUGUGUGGCCAGGAAUGCAGGCGGGCCAAUCUGGGAAGGGCAGCAGGCACUCAAGAGAAAUGAAAAAGGCAAGUCUCCAGAAAGUAUGAAGUCUACUUCUUUCCUUACUCACAAUUCUUGUUCUCAUUGGUACCACAGGGAGAGUGAUGCACAGGCAAAUGGAUCGUGGGUCUGAUUUAUUUUAGUGAUUCUUACAUUCUUAUUAUCUUUUUCUGGCUGCCCUAUGACCAGUCUUGUGUUUCAUCUCAGUUGCCUAGAUACUCCCAGCCUGAAUGCUGACAAGUUUCCCAAAGAUGAGUUUAAUUUUGUGAGAAUUCUAGAAUUAUAUCUCCAAGGAGGUUUCUUGCCACCAGAGUGUCUCUGGAGCAAAUUUGUGGACUCUAAAUAUUUUCCAGCAGAUUGUAAAUUUUGGAUAUGGUGCUAGCAAAGAGAAGAAAGGACAGCAGCAAAUUUCAGGACCACAUGGUUUCCAGUUAGAUUGUAGUCAGUGUGAUAGUUUGUAUGAUACACUGUGUUCUCUGCUCAAAGAUGUUCUUGGGAGAAAGAAGAAAGGUUGAACGUUUCUUUUGUGCCAAGUAAUGAAUAAUCAAGGGAAGAAACUGGGAAAGAAAAUCAAUUUUGGAUUUGAGUGUUAGAGAGAAGCUAGAACUGUGAGCCCUUAUUAUGUUGGUGACACCAUCUUAACAAAGUAGAAAUGAGUUUUUCUGUCUCACUUUGCAGUGGAUGACUGAAAAUGACUUUCGAACCUGCUGCAACAGUGGUUCAGAAGAGCAGAAAGGGCAAAGGGACUGCAUUUCAUUGUUCUUCUGUACGAUUUCCCAUCCUGGAUGUAAAAGCAAAAUACUGUUUUUCCCUCUGUGCCUAUAUUUCAAUGUAUAUCAUCAUUUUCCUUGUUACACUUACAUUUUUAAAUAAAUGGUUUCCCCUAAGUGGAUGCCAUACAGA